GACAUAGGUGGCGAACGUUAUCCGGAAUUAUUGGGCGUAAAGGGCUCGUAGGCGGUUUGUCGCGUCGGGAGUGAAAACCAUGCGCUUAACUCAUGGCUUGCUUUCGAUACGGGCAGACUAGAGGUAUUCAGGGGAGAACGGAAUUCCUGGUGUAGCGGUGAAAUGCGCAGAUAUCAGGAGGAACACCGGUGGCGAAGGCGGUUCUCUGGGAAUGUCCUGACGCUGAGGAGCGAAAGUGUGGGGAGCGAACAGG
This 253-nucleotide ribosomal RNA is filed under the name uncultured bacterium. RNAcentral describes it as "partial 16S ribosomal RNA". It matches the Rfam family "Bacterial small subunit ribosomal RNA", at positions 524 to 776 of the family's 1533-position model. The record is from RNAcentral.